RNAcentral lists this ribosomal RNA (289 nucleotides) under uncultured bacterium. Its description in RNAcentral is "partial 16S ribosomal RNA". It matches the Rfam family "Bacterial small subunit ribosomal RNA", at positions 29 to 289 of the family's 1533-position model. The record is from RNAcentral.
AUGAACGCUGGCGGCGUGGAUAAGGCAUGCAAGUCGGACGAUUUCCUUUUUUGAAGAAGAUGCGAUUACAUCAAGUCAACUGAUAUUUUGGAGGUAGUGGCGAACGAGCUAGUAACACCUUGGUACGUACCCAAAAGUUUGGUAUAGCUCGCCGAAAGGCGGGGUAAUCCCAAAUAAUCCCUCUAUCUAUCGGAUAGAAGGGUAAAGUCGCAAGACGCUUUUGGAGCGGCCUAGGACCGAUCAGUUAGUUGGUGAGGUAAUGGCUCACCAAGACGAUGACCGGUAGGGG